This is a long non-coding RNA of Amphimedon queenslandica, 323 nucleotides long. RefSeq lists it as uncharacterized. The record is from RefSeq and is a predicted model, not a curated record. NCBI's taxonomy places the organism in Eukaryota, Metazoa, Porifera, Demospongiae, Haplosclerida, Niphatidae. The transcript is spliced from 3 exons.
GAGUCAAAUACAGUCAAUCUGUGAUAUUACAUGCUCCUAGUGGUCCUCCGAACAAUGUGAGAGGGUUUAUAUUAAAUACUACUAGUAUCAAGGUGAACUGGACUAAUUCAUCAGUCACUAAAGGAUAUGUGAUUGUAUAUACUACUGGAGGUGUAACCCAUAAUGUUGUAUUUACCAAUAUAAAUGAAACUGUAUUAACAAAUCUCUCACCAUUGAGUACCUAUACCAUCAGUGUGUAUUCAUAUUUAGAUCUUCCUUCUGUUACUAGUACAGUAACAGAGUUAAGAUUGGAUGUUCCUAGUCCAGUAACUAAUCUCUCAGUA